GGGGUUGUGGCUCUGUGGUAGAGUGCUCACCUUGCAUGCAUGAGGCACUGAGUUCAAUCCUCAGCAACACAU
Molecule: transfer RNA, 72 nt
Filed under: Marmota marmota marmota (Alpine marmot)
Lineage: Eukaryota; Metazoa; Chordata; Mammalia; Rodentia; Sciuridae
Also listed under: 1 other name
Rfam family: tRNA
About the family: Transfer RNA (tRNA) molecules are approximately 80 nucleotides in length. Their secondary structure includes four short double-helical elements and three loops (D, anti-codon, and T loops).
Source: Rfam by way of RNAcentral